RNAcentral lists this small nuclear RNA (36 nucleotides) under Cervus elaphus hippelaphus. The record is from RNAcentral. Lineage: Eukaryota; Metazoa; Chordata; Mammalia; Artiodactyla; Cervidae.
AUCGCUUCUCAGCCUUUUGGCUAAGAUCAAGUGUAG